AUUGAACGCUGGCGGCAGGCCUAACACAUGCAAGUCGAGCGAGCGGCGGACGGGUGAGUAAUGUAUGGAGAUCUGCCCGAUAGAGGGGGAUCAAUACUGGAAAGGGUGGCUAAUCCCGCAUACUAUCGGAUGAACCCAUAUGGGAUUCGAUAGGAGGUGGGGAAAAGGCUCACCAAGGCGACGAUCUCUAGCUGGUCCGAGAGGAUGAACAGCCACACUGGGACUGAGACACGGCCCAGACUCCUACGGUAGGCAGCAGUGGGGAAUAUUGCACAAUGGGCGCAAGCCUGAUGCAGCCAUGCCGCGUGUGUGAAGAAGGCCUUAGGGUUGUAAAGUACUUUCAGCGGGGAGGCGUUACCCGCAGAAGAAGCACCGGCUAACUCCGUGCCAGCCGCCGCGGUAAUUC
This 406-nucleotide ribosomal RNA is filed under the name uncultured bacterium. Its description in RNAcentral is "partial 16S ribosomal RNA". It matches the Rfam family "Bacterial small subunit ribosomal RNA", at positions 30 to 526 of the family's 1533-position model. The record is from RNAcentral.